RNAcentral lists this ribosomal RNA (403 nucleotides) under bacterium. RNAcentral's name for it is "partial 16S ribosomal RNA". It matches the Rfam family "Bacterial small subunit ribosomal RNA", at positions 355 to 776 of the family's 1533-position model. The record is from RNAcentral.
UGGGGAAUAUUGCACAAUGGGGGAAACCCUGAUGCAGCGACGCCGCGUGAACGAAGAAGGUAUUCGUAUCGUAAAGUUCUGUCCUAUGGGAAGAUAAUGACAGUACCAUAGAAGAAAGCUCCGGCUAAAUACGUGCCAGCAGCCGCGGUAAUACGUAUGGAGCGAGCGUUGUCCGGAAUUAUUGGGCGUAAAGGGUACGCAGGCGGUUUAAUAAGUCGAAUGUUAAAGAUCGGGGCUCAACCCCGCAAAGCAUUGGAAACUGAUAAACUUGAGUAGUGGAGAGGAAAGUGGAAUUCCUAGUGUAGUGGUGAAAUGCGUAGAUAGUAGGAGGAAUACCAGUAGCGAAGGCGACUUUCUGGACACAAACUGACGCUGAGGUACGAAAGCGUGGGGAGCAAACAGG